CAUAGCGACCAUAGCGUAGGGGCCCACCUGAUCCCAUCCCGAACUCAGCAGUUAAGACCUACAACGCCGACGAUACCGUAAAGGGAAAAUAGGGAGUCGCUUUUU
This 105-nucleotide ribosomal RNA is filed under the name Mycoplasma phocoenae. The record is from RNAcentral. Lineage: Bacteria; Bacillati; Mycoplasmatota; Mollicutes; Mycoplasmatales; Mycoplasmataceae.